Molecule: ribosomal RNA, 349 nt
Filed under: uncultured bacterium
Lineage: Bacteria
Description: bacterial SSU rRNA
Rfam family: Bacterial small subunit ribosomal RNA
Source: RNAcentral
UCGAGAGGCUUCGGCAAUGGGGGAAACCCUGACCGAGCAACGCCGCGUGAAGGAUGAAGUAUUUCGGUAUGUAAACUUCGAAAGAAUAGGAAGAAUAAAUGACGGUACUAUUUAUAAGGUCCGGCUAACUACGUGCCAGCAGCCGCGGUAAUACGUAGGGACCAAGCGUUGUUCGGAUUUACUGGGCGUAAAGGGCGCGUAGGCGGCAUGACAAGUCACUUGUGAAAUCUCUGGGCUUAACCCAGAACGGCCAAGUGAUACUGUCGCGCUAGAGUGCAGAAGGGGCAAUCGGAAUUCUUGGUGUAGCGGUGAAAUGCGUAGAUAUCAAGAGGAACACCUGAGGUGAAGA